Molecule: ribosomal RNA, 253 nt
Filed under: uncultured bacterium
Lineage: Bacteria
Description: partial 16S ribosomal RNA
Rfam family: Bacterial small subunit ribosomal RNA
Source: RNAcentral
UACGGAGGGGGCUAGCGUUGUUCGGAAUUACUGGGCGUAAAGCGCACGUAGGCGGCUUUGUAAGUUAGAGGUGAAAGCCCGGGGCUCAACUCCGGAAUUGCCUUUAAGACUGCAUCGCUAGAAUUGUGGAGAGGUAAGUGGAAUUCCGAGUGUAGAGGUGAAAUUCGUAGAUAUUCGGAAGAACACCAGUGGCGAAGGCGACUUACUGGACACAUAUUGACGCUGAGGUGCGAAAGCGUGGGGGGCAAACAGG